GUAAUCCGAGGCGCGAUUACUUUUCAAAUUCCUGGUACGGCUUCGUCUCAACCGUCCGCUUCUUUCUACUGCUAAAAUCCCGCCAUCGCUUCAAUAAUAAGCGCGAUCCGAGGCGUGGUUCUCAAUCCAAUCAAUUUCAAAUUCUCUGUACGGUUACGCUUCAAUAGCUGGUGUAAUCCGAGGCGCGAUCCUCGAUCCAAUCAAUUCCAAACCUUCUGUACGGUUUAGUUUCAGCCGUCCAUUUCUUUUCUACGGCCCCGAUCUCACAGUCUAUUUUUGUCUUACAUGCGGUAUUAAUUAGGUCAUCUUAAUUACCGUCGUCUAUUCAUCAUUAUAGCCGACCUCGGAACUCGCUUUGAUGCGAUGAUUCGAUGCGACAGCCAACUUUUCUUCUUCGCAAAGUUUCUUAUUCUCUUUUAUACUCAACCUUUGUCUUUUUUGUUUCUCUUUACUUCUUCCUCGUUCUUUCCGACCUCUUCUCCAUCUCUCGUCUACAGCUUCUGCUCACCUUCUUCUUCCCUAGCAUCUUUUCGCUUCGAGUAAUGGCGCCACUUCCGCCUUUACCUACUCGUCCUU
RNAcentral lists this long non-coding RNA (576 nucleotides) under Ananas comosus (pineapple). Its description in RNAcentral is "long non-coding RNA (ACOM_LNC001966)". Lineage: Eukaryota; Viridiplantae; Streptophyta; Magnoliopsida; Poales; Bromeliaceae. The record is from RNAcentral.